AGUCCUAUGCUUGUCUCAAAGAUUAAGCCAUGCAUGUGUCAGUACAAACCAAUAUAAGGUGAAACCGCGAAUGGCUCAUUAAAUCAGCUAUGUUUCAUUGGAUCUGUACCCCCCAUUUACUUGGACAACUGUGGUAAUUCUAGAGCUAAUACAUGCACACAUAGUCCCUGACCGUGAGGGAAGGGCGCUUUUAUUAGUUCAAAACCGGUCGGGCCUCGGUCCGUAAACCCACCCUGUGAUGACUCUGAAUAACUUUUGGCUGAGCGCACGGUCUCCGUACUGGCGCCGCAUCUUUCAAGUGUCUGCCUUAUCAGCUUUCGAUUGUAGGUUAUGCGCCUACAAUGGCUAUAACGGGUAACGGGGAAUCAGGGUUCGAUUCCGGAGAGGGAGCCUGAGAAACGGCUACCACAUCUAAGGAAGGCAGCAGGCACGCAAAUUACCCACUCCCGGCACGGGGAGGUAGUGACGAAAAAUAACGAUGCGAGACUCAUCCGAGGCCUCGCAAUCGGAAUGAGUACACUUUAAAUCCUUUAACGAGGACCCAUUGGAGGGCAAGUCUGGUGCCAGCAGCCGCGGUAAUUCCAGCUCCAAUAGCGUAUAUUAAAGUUGUUGCGGUUAAAAAGCUCGUAGUUGGACUUAAGUUCUGGACUGACGGUUCACCGCCCGGUGCUUACUGUCACGCUCCGAACCGCUCAUUAAUUUGAGCCCUGCCGGCUUGCACGGGGUGCUCUUCACCGAGUGUCCCGAGUGGCCGGCAUGUUUACUUUGAAAAAAUUAGAGUGCUUAAAGCAGGCUACUUGUAUGGCCUGAAUGUCUAUGCAUGGAAUAAUGGAAUAGGACCUCGGUUCUAUUUUGUCGGUUUUCCUUAUCGGAACCCGAGGUAAUGACUAAUCGAGACAGGCGGGGGCAUUCGUACUGCGACGCUAGAGGUGAAAUUCUUGGACCGUCGCAAGACGAACUACUGCGAAAGCAUUUGCCAAGGAUGUUUUCAUUAAUCAAGAACGAAAGUUAGAGGUUCGAAGGCGAUCAGAUACCGCCCUAGUUCUAACCAUAAACGAUGCUAACUAGCGAUCCGCCGGCGUUAUUCCCAUGACCCGGCGGGCAGCUUCCGGGAAACCAAAGUCUUUGAGUUCCGGGGGAAGUAUGGUUGCAAAGCUGAAACUUAAAGGAAUUGACGGAAGGGCACCACCAGGAGUGGAGCCUGCGGCUUAAUUUGACUCAACACGGGGAACCUCACCAGGCCCGGACACCGGAAGGAUUGACAGAUUGAGAGCUCUUUCUCGAUUCGGUGGGUGGUGGUGCAUGGCCGUUCUUGAGUUGGU
This 1322-nucleotide ribosomal RNA is filed under the name Leiogalathea evander. RNAcentral describes it as "SSU rRNA". It matches the Rfam family "Eukaryotic small subunit ribosomal RNA", at positions 21 to 1302 of the family's 1831-position model. Lineage: Eukaryota; Metazoa; Arthropoda; Malacostraca; Decapoda; Munidopsidae. The record is from RNAcentral.